UAGGGAAUCUUCCGCAAUGGACGAAAGUCUGACGGAGCAACGCCGCGUGAGUGAUGAAGGCUUUCGGGUCGUAAAACUCUGUUGUUAGGGAAGAACAAGUGCUAGUUGAAUAAGCUGGCACCUUGACGGUACCUAACCAGAAAGCCACGGCUAACUACGUGCCAGCAGCCGCGGUAAUACGUAGGGGGCAAGCGGUGUCCGGAUUUACUGGGUGUAAAGGGCGCGCAGGCGGGAUAAAAAGUCAGUGGUGAAAUCCUACAGCUUAACUGUAGAACUGCCUUUGAUACUUUUAUUCUUGAGUUAGGGAGAGAGAGACGGAAUUCCAGGUGUAGUGGUGAAAUACGUAGAUAUCUGGAAGAACACCAGUUGCGAAGGCGGUCUCUUGGUCCGACACUGACGCUGAGGCGCGAAAGCGUGGGGAGCAAACA
This 428-nucleotide ribosomal RNA is filed under the name uncultured bacterium. RNAcentral's name for it is "bacterial SSU rRNA". It matches the Rfam family "Bacterial small subunit ribosomal RNA", at positions 355 to 774 of the family's 1533-position model. The record is from RNAcentral.